GAGGAAAAGAAACUAACAAGGAUUCCCCUAGUAACGGCGAGUGAACCGGGAAGAGCUCAAAUUUGAAAUCUGGCGUCCUCAGGGCGUCCGAGUUGUAAUCUAUAGAGGCGUUUUCCGUGCCGGACCGUGUCCAAGUUCCUUGGAACAGGAUAUCAAAGAGGGUGACAAUCCCGUACUUGACACGACGACCGGUGCUCUGUGAUACGUCUUCUACGAGUCGAGUUGUUUGGGAAUGCAGCUCAAAAUGGGUGGUGAGUUCCAUCUAAAGCUAAAUAUUGGCGAGAGACCGAUAGCGAACAAGUACCGUGAGGGAAAGAUGAAAAGCACUUUGGAAAGAGAGUUAAACAGUACGUGAAAUUGUUGAAAGGGAAACGAUUGAAGUCAGUCGUGACCGAGAGGCUCAGCCGGUUCUGCCGGUGUAUUCCCCUCGGUCGGGUCAACAUCAGUUUUGUCCGGUGGAUAAGGACGGUAGGAAGGUGGCACCCUCGGGUGUGUUAUAGCCUGCCGUCGCAUACAUCGGGUGAGACUGAGGAACGCAGCUCGCCUUUAUGGCCGGGGUUCGCCCACGUCCGAGCUUAGGAUGUUGACAUAAUGGCUUUAAACGACCCGUCUUGA
This 615-nucleotide ribosomal RNA is filed under the name Papiliotrema laurentii. RNAcentral's name for it is "eukaryotic LSU rRNA". It matches the Rfam family "Eukaryotic large subunit ribosomal RNA", at positions 53 to 657 of the family's 3401-position model. Lineage: Eukaryota; Fungi; Basidiomycota; Tremellomycetes; Tremellales; Rhynchogastremaceae. The record is from RNAcentral.